This 395-nucleotide ribosomal RNA is filed under the name uncultured bacterium. RNAcentral's name for it is "partial 16S ribosomal RNA". It matches the Rfam family "Bacterial small subunit ribosomal RNA", at positions 523 to 918 of the family's 1533-position model. The record is from RNAcentral.
AUACGUAGGGAGCAAGCGUUGUCCGGAAUUACUGGGCGUAAAGGGUGCGUAGGUGGUCAUGUAAGUCAGAUGUGAAAGACCGGGGCUUAACCCCGGGGUUGCAUUUGAAACUGUGUGACUUGAGUACAGGAGAGGGAAGUGGAAUUCCUAGUGUAGCGGUGAAAUGCGUAGAUAUUAGGAGGAACACCAGUGGCGAAGGCGACUUUCUGGACUGUAACUGACACUGAGGCACGAAAGCGUGGGGAGCAAACAGGAUUAGAUACCCUGGUAGUCCACGCCGUAAACGAUGGAUACUAGGUGUGGGGCCCGAUAGGGUUCCGUGCCGAAGCAAACGCAUUAAGUAUCCCGCCUGGGGAGUACGAUCGCAAGGUUGAAACUCAAAGGAAUUGACGGGG